Molecule: long non-coding RNA, 3564 nt
Filed under: Lynx pardinus (Iberian lynx)
Lineage: Eukaryota; Metazoa; Chordata; Mammalia; Carnivora; Felidae
Source: RNAcentral
UCGGGGGCUGCCCUGGGCCCGAGGAGGAGUGAGCGGGCUUCUUGAGGCGCAGGAGGUGCUGCAGGUGGACCUGGGGAAGCGGGACAGGUCCUGACACGCCUCCUGGUGAGGCCACGGCCGUGGGUAGCGUUUCCCCAUGCCGUAGGCUGACUUCGGGUCUGGGACCCACCUCCACCGGGGCCUCCGAAUCCUGUCCAGCCAACUGCGAAUUGCCGGCGUCCACUGGAUAGACAGUAGACAUUUCCGUAAUACGUGAGUUAAAACACACAAGACCGACCUGUUUUCAUUCGUCUGUAACCUACAGUCUAAAGUAGAAACUCGUGAUCCUGAAGGGACGGCCUCUCGUUGGCGGUCCUACUUCCCUCCCAGCCCCACCAGCCCAGCCAAGCUGGUGCCGAGUCCUUUACAUAUGGAGUGGUGGAGCCACCACUGUACCUUCUGGAGGAGACGAGCAGUGGUUCCCUCCUCGGGAGGCACCCCGCUCCACCGUUUUCUGCAGUAAUGGAAACACACAGUAGUGAAGGAUUGAAACUCGGAGUAAGCUACUGAGCAAGACAGGCCCCAUAAUUUCACUUACCUGGCUGUCACGUGGUCUUUUUUUUUUUUUUUUUCAACGUUUAUUUUAUUUUUGGGACAGAGAGAGACAGAGCAUGAACGGGGGAGGGGCAGAGAGAGAGGGAGACACAGAAUCGGAAACAGGCUCCAGGCUCCGAGCCAUCAGCCCAGAGCCUGACGCGGGGCUCGAACUCACGGACCGUGAGAUCGUGACCUGGCUGAAGUCGGACGCUUAACCGACUGCGCCACCCAGGCGCCCCUGUCACGUGGUCUUAAGGGGGUCUGGUGCUGAGCCCAUUGUGUAGGCAGUUUCUAUGUGUGUCCUUUGGAAAUGGACAUCGAAAUGAGCUCUUCCCCUCUCUCUCUCCCUUUUCACUUUGACCAGUAUUCAGUGCCCAACCACCGUGAGCUGAAUACUGUCCUCAUGUGCCAGCGUUGUGAGGCGUGGCCCUUUCCCAACACAACCUCACUGAUGAGGCACUUAUGCCCAGUCUUUAGGCCAAGGCUGGGCUGCAGAGUUGCAGACUAUUAUCUGACCAUCAGGAGCACAAACGAUUAGAAUGCAGUCCGAGUACUGGGAGGGCAGAGUGAGAGUCAAGGACCAGCACAGGACACGGAAGUGCUUGUACACCUUAAGGGAGACUAGCAAGUGUCCCAGUGAAAAGGGAGAUACGGCAGUACAGGGAAUGUAAGAGAGGAAGAUGCCCUUGUCAUGUGAUAGGGAUGAUCAAUCAACAGAUCAUUUUGAGCACUUGGGAUCACAUACUCAUGUUAGGUGCUGUGCUAGAUUCUGUGUAUGGAGAAAUAAGUAAGGUGGUCAUAUUUUUAAAAUAUCAACAUGGGUCAUUGCAAUGUAUGUUACCUAAAAGUUAAAUUAAAACAAUAUAAAAAGGUAUUUAUAGGCAAACAGGAAUGUGCCUAAGAGGUCAGGGAGAUCCAAUGUUUGAUACCAGAUUCAUUACAAUAAUAUAACCACAUUGUGUUUGUAGAUAUAAAUUGUAGUUACCACCCUUUAAGAGUCUAAAUUUCAGCAUGAAAAUGUUAAAAAUGAUACAGGAAUAUGGGUGUCACGGUGUAAACCCCGAGUGGUUUUCAAAUGAAUCGUAGAAGUAGAAAAUGUUAAGUGUUCAGAAGGCAAAAUCACUGUUACAUAGAAUCAUCCAGAAAGACUUUAUAGAGAGCCAGGGCUUGACCUGUGGAAGAGAGAUGACUGCCAUCUUAUAGGGACUUACCAUAUGUCAAGCAUUGUGCGAGGCUCUUCCAUCUAAACCACCUUUGUUCUUUAUGACCCCUGAGAAGCAGGUUUUUGUCUUACAUCUCCAUUUUAUAGAUGAGGAACCUGACUUAGAGAUGGCUACUUGCCCUGAGUCACACACCUCAGAAGCCGUGGAAUUAGGGCUCAAACAGCUUGGGCAGGCUUCAGAGCCCAUGCUCUUUACCAUAAAUAGCACAAACAGAGGCACAGAGGUGAUGUGCCAGACACCCCCAGUGGCUCCACUACGACCUCAUAGUGACUCAGACCAGGAAUGACACAUGAAACGUUGGCAGCCUUGUGUAGCCAUCAGCCUGACCAAUUACAAAAAGUCACCCCAGGGGCGCCUGGGUGGCGCAGUCGGUUAAGCGUCCGACUUCAGCCAGGUCACGAUCUCGCGGUCCGGGAGUUCGAGCCCCGCGUCGGGCUCUGGGCUGAUGGCUCAGAGCCUGGAGCUUGUUUCCGAUUCUGUGUCUCCCUCUCUCUCUGCCCCUCCCCCGUUCAUGCUCUGUCUCUCUCUGUCCCAAAAAUAAAUAAACGUUGAAAAAAAAAAAAUUUUAAAAAAACAAAAAGUCACCCCAAAUUCCUAUCCUAAGGGGGUUCAAUGGGGAAUGGUCUCAUAAUGGAUCUGGGGUGAAGGAUGAGUGGUAGUGUAAGGCCGGCAGGUGGAGGGUUGGGCAAUCAGAUGAGAACAGAGUUUCAGAACAAAAGGUUGGAAGGCAGAGAUGCUGUAUGUGCUGAUAGAGGCGGAGAGGGCCCGGACCGAGAAACUGCAGAAAGAGAACAGACUCCUGACCCUGCGGUGUGGGAGUGUCCCCAGAGAGGGCGGCUGGGACACUGAGCCGUCCAGCGGAGAUGUGCCUGUGCAGCGCCUCACCAAGGAGCGGGUCUCUUCCCCCUCCCAGUCCCAGAUUCGAGACUCAGAGUGGCUCACGUGGAAUCCACGGGACAUGUGUGCCUUUUGUUUCUAUGAGAAGAUUUUAUGCUCUUAUUAAAUUCUCCAUCACAGGGAUGCAGUGGUUUCCCAUGGAGGACAUGGCCCUGGAGUAGCCCUGCCUCUUAGCAGGUUUUCUCUUUCUGGGGGGACAUGCCCUUGGCCUUGACCAAAACACUUCGGUUUUUUGGUUCAGUCAGUAAGUGAGUAGCUAUGUUCUGACACUGCUUACGUGCCAGUCUACCUCUGCCUUUUUAUCUUCCAGAUUGUCCUGGGCUAAAAUGUCUACAGACCCCAGGAUUGCUACAGGUCAGCUGUCCCCACUGGAGAAGAAAAUCUUGGUAAGUAAUCUUCACGUCAUAUGGUUUGGAACUACUAGGAGAAGGAGCCUUGGGUUUAAAACCCUGCCCAGGUGACCCCUGUCUACACUGGCAGAUGUGUUUCACUAUAUCUAUGCUUGCAAAACAAAACACUAUGUUGAAAGCACCCAAUACUAUAUUUUUAAAGCACUAGUUAUUGAUUUUGGUGGGGUAAUUUAACUUUCAGAGCUCAUGGGUUCACCUAGGAGUGAUGGAGUAGAAAUCACAAUUAUUACACCCACAUAUCUUUUCUGGCUGUCAGUAAUGAGGGUAUGCUCCUGUUUAAAUGUGUUCAGAGUGAAAAGAUGGUCCCAUUAUGAAAUCCUCUACCUCACUUUGACAGAGUCUGGGUGGUGUGCAUACAACAGCGACAAGACAACUGAUAACUCAGAAAUACCAGGAGGAGUACGAGACACUGUGUAGGGAGCAGGCUCUUUCUCAUGACUACUGGCUUGCCAAAACAG